UGGUCCCGUAGUGUAGCGGUUAUCACGUCGCCCUGUCACGGCGAAGAUCGCGGGUUCGAUUCCCGUCGGGACCGU
This 75-nucleotide transfer RNA is filed under the name Streptococcus suis. Its description in RNAcentral is "tRNA-Asp(gtc)". It matches the Rfam family "tRNA". From Rfam's summary of the family: Transfer RNA (tRNA) molecules are approximately 80 nucleotides in length. Their secondary structure includes four short double-helical elements and three loops (D, anti-codon, and T loops). The record is from RNAcentral. RNAcentral also lists the same sequence under 1 other name. Lineage: Bacteria; Bacillati; Bacillota; Bacilli; Lactobacillales; Streptococcaceae.